AGCUCCAAUAGCGUAUAUUAAAGUUGCUGCAGUUAAAAAGCUCGUAGUUGCAUUUCCGAGGCAAGGGAUUAGUCCGACCUUUGGUGGGUAUUUAAUCCUCUUGCCUCGUCCUUGAGUGGUGCUUCUUGGUAUUAAGUUAUCGAGGAGAUAGCCGCUCAUCGUUUACUGUGAGAAAAUUAGAGUGUUCAAAGCAGGCUUAUGCCGUUGAAUAUAUUAGCAUGGAAUAAUAAGAUAGGACCUCGGUACUAUUUUGUUGGUGUGAGAACCAAGGUAAUGAUGAAUAGGGACAGUUGGGGGUAUUCGUAUUCAGUUGUCAGAGGUGAAAUUCUUAGAUUUACGGAAGACGAACUACUGCGAAAGCAUUUACCAAGGAUGUUUGCA
This 381-nucleotide ribosomal RNA is filed under the name uncultured marine Chaetocerotaceae. RNAcentral describes it as "SSU rRNA". It matches the Rfam family "Eukaryotic small subunit ribosomal RNA", at positions 587 to 972 of the family's 1831-position model. Lineage: Eukaryota; Bacillariophyta; Thalassiosirophyceae; Chaetocerotales; Chaetocerotaceae. The record is from RNAcentral.